UACGAAGGGGGCUAGCGUUGCUCGGAAUCACUGGGCGUAAAGCGCACGUAGGCGGAUCUUUAAGUCAGGGGUGAAAUCCUGGAGCUCAACUCCAGAACUGCCUUUGAUACUGGCGAACUCGAGGGAGGCAGAGGAAAGUGGAAUUCCCGGUGUAGUGGUGAUAUGCGUAGAUAUCGGGAGGAACACCUGUGGCGAAGGCGGCUUUCUGGGCCUUACCUGACGCUGAGACGCGAAAGCGUGGGGAGCGAACCGG
RNAcentral lists this ribosomal RNA (253 nucleotides) under uncultured bacterium. Its description in RNAcentral is "partial 16S ribosomal RNA". It matches the Rfam family "Bacterial small subunit ribosomal RNA", at positions 524 to 776 of the family's 1533-position model. The record is from RNAcentral.